Eurytemora carolleeae is the source of this 533-nucleotide long non-coding RNA. RefSeq lists it as uncharacterized. NCBI's taxonomy places the organism in Eukaryota, Metazoa, Arthropoda, Copepoda, Calanoida, Temoridae. The transcript is spliced from 3 exons. The record is from RefSeq and is a predicted model, not a curated record.
GUCAUCAAGAAUACAAGUGUCGUCUGACAAACUUUAAUAAAACUUUGCAGUAAUAAAAUGCACAUCAUGUGAAAGGAAAUAUCUUUAGAUUUAAAUUGUCAGCGAGCCCCCCAAAACUAAAAAACGAGAAAAGUUUUACUCCGACACUUUGAAAUCUUCACUUUGGGCCAAAAACAAAUUAACUUUACAAUAAAAAUUGAAAUCUUCAAAUUCAUAGAAAUUCACGAAGAAAGAGCUGAGUCAUUAAAUGUUAAAGAAUCGAUGAUUUAAAAAAGUUCUAGAUUUUAAUGUAACUUUAUCUAAUCUGUUGGUUUUAAAGUAAAUUCAAAAUGGCCUCGACUAACUCUGAGUUUAAUAAGUUGAGUAAUCGAUGUGGAGUUGAACUGGAGGAAACCUUACACCGUCUCCAGGAGCACUCAGGAGUACAGGGGAUCAUAGUUGUAGAUUUAUCAGGAAAAAUUAUUAAGAGUUCGUUUGAAUCCCAGUUCGGAGAAAAAAUCCUAGGAUAUAUUGGACCUUUAGCAAUUCAGGUU